RNAcentral lists this ribosomal RNA (113 nucleotides) under uncultured eukaryote. Its description in RNAcentral is "partial small subunit ribosomal RNA". The record is from RNAcentral.
GUCGCUCCCACUGAUUGGGCGGUCCGGUGAAGACUCUGGAGACGAGCACGUGUUUGGUUUCCAUUCGCGUUGCGCGUUGAAUUUGUCUAAACCUUAUCGCCUAGAGGAUGGAG